Mauremys mutica (yellowpond turtle) is the source of this 742-nucleotide long non-coding RNA. RefSeq lists it as uncharacterized. The transcript is spliced from 3 exons. The record is from RefSeq and is a predicted model, not a curated record. Lineage: Eukaryota; Metazoa; Chordata; Testudines; Geoemydidae.
ACUAGGGCGUGGACAGAAGUAUAAGAGGCCGGUCCUGCAGCACAAUUGGGGGAGAGCCUGCAAUGGAGGAGGAUGCUUAGCCUGUUCUCCAAAGGCCCCGAGCAGAGCCGGCACCUGGCUGUUCCCGAUCCCCAGACGUGGACGAUGACUGGCCCGGAGUACCUGCUUCAGUUUACCCCGAAGAGCCGGAAGAGGCCUGGAGGCUGCAGCCCUAUUGGGGCUUUUUCCUGUCUUACAGACUCUGGUCCUGACCAACCAGGACUAGCCUGAGUGGCCUCCCUCCGACCGGGAGAGUGAGGGAGCAUUACAAAAACCGUCAGAGAGGCAAAUACAAACAAUCAAAAUCACUUGAAGGUAAAAACUGAACAUUACAACAAAACAGGAGUUUGCCCUGUCUGUGAACAGAAACAAAAGACAAUUUCAGUAUAACACAGAGCAGGGAGAAGUCUUCUCUGGAUCCAUUCACCGAGAAAAACCCUUGUGGAGCAGGGGUGCUUUCAUGAUGGUUUGAGUCCUGGUUCUUUUGGAUCCUGGCAACCUAGCCAGUUCGCAACAGAUGAACCUUUGGGGGAAAAUCUUACUUUAUUUGACAGGAAAGGAGUCCCACCAUGUCUACUCCUGUUUGCUCAAAAGGAUCAUCUGAGUGGAAAGGGCACUAAUGGGGCUUUGACACUACUUUGGAAGACACUAAUGUGAGUCAGGAGGCACAUAAGUUGGCUUCUUGUCUGUAUAUUCCCAGCCA